CUUCGGGUAUUGAGGAUGGCGGACGGGUGAGUAACGCGUAAGGAAUUUGCCUCUUGGUCUGGGACAACUGUUGGAAACGACAGCUAAUACCGGAUAUUAUGAGAUUCUCGCAUGGGAAACUUAUGAAAGCUAUAUGCGCCAAGAGAGAGCCUUGCGUUCCAUUAGCUAGUUGGUGGGGUAACGGCCCACCAAGGCGACGAUGGAUAGCCGGCCUGAGAGGGUGAACGGCCACAAGGGGACUGAGACACGGCCCUUACUCCUACGGGAGGCAGCAGUGGGGAAUAUUGGACAAUGGGCCACAAGCCUGAUCCAGCAAUUCUGUGUGCACGAUGAAGGUCUUCGGAUUGUAAAGUGCUUUCAGUUGGGAAGAAGAAAGUGACGGUACCAACAGAAGAAGCGACGGCUAAAUACGUGCCAGCAGCCGCGGUAAUACGUAUGUCGCAAGCGUUAUCCGGAUUUAUUGGGCGUAAAGCGCGUCUAGGCGGAAAAAUAAGUCUGAUGUUAAAAUGCGGGGCUCAACUCCGUAUUGCGUUGGAAACUGUUUUUCUAGAGUACUGGAGAGGUGGGCGGAACUACAAGUGUAGAGGUGAAAUUCGUAGAUAUUUGUA
This 608-nucleotide ribosomal RNA is filed under the name uncultured bacterium. RNAcentral's name for it is "bacterial SSU rRNA". It matches the Rfam family "Bacterial small subunit ribosomal RNA", at positions 78 to 702 of the family's 1533-position model. The record is from RNAcentral.